RNAcentral lists this non-coding RNA (26 nucleotides) under Mus musculus (house mouse). The record is from RNAcentral. Lineage: Eukaryota; Metazoa; Chordata; Mammalia; Rodentia; Muridae.
UGGUGGCACCAGUGUGGGAAUGCAGG